Molecule: ribosomal RNA, 465 nt
Filed under: uncultured bacterium
Lineage: Bacteria
Description: partial 16S ribosomal RNA
Rfam family: Bacterial small subunit ribosomal RNA
Source: RNAcentral
CCUACGGGUGGCAGCAGUAGGGAAUCUUCCACAAUGGGCGAAAGCCUGAUGGAGCAACGCCGCGUGGGUGAAGAAGGUCUUCGGAUCGUAAAACUCUGUUGUUAGAGAAGAAAGUGCGUGAGAGUAACUGUUCACGUUUCGACGGUAUCUAACCAGAAAGCCACGGCUAACUACGUGCCAGCAGCCGCGGUAAUAAGUAGGUGGCAAGCGUUAUCCGGAUUUAUUGGGCGUAAAGGGAACGCAGGCGGUCUUUUAAGUCUGAUGUGAAAGCCUUCGGCUUAACCGGAGUAGUGCAUUGGAAACUGGGAGACUUGAGUGCAGAAGAGGAGAGUGGAACUCGAUGUGUAGCGGUGAAAUGCGUAGAUAUAUGGAAGAACACCAGUGGCGAAAGCGGCCCUCUGUACUGUAACUGACGCUGAGGUUCGAAGGUGUGGGUAGCGAACAGGAUUAGAUACCCUAGUAGUC